AGCGAACGCUGGCGGCAGGUCUAACACAUGCAAGUCGAACGAACCUUUCGGGGUUAGUGGCGGACGGGUGAGUAACACGUGGGAACGUGCCUUUAGGUUCGGAAUAACUCAGGGAAACUUGUGCUAAUACCGAAUGUGCCCUUCGGGGGAAAGAUUAAUCGCCUUUAGAGCGGCCCGCGUCUGAUUAGCUAGUUGGUUGAGGUAAUGGCUCACCAAGGCGACGAUCAGUAGCUGGUCUGAGAGGAUGAUCAGCCACAUUGGGACUGAGACACGGCCCAAACUCCUACGGGAGGCAGCAGUGGGGAAUCUUGCGCAAUGGGCGAAAGCCUGACGCAGCCAUGCCGCGUGAAUGAUGAAGGUCUUAGGAUUGUAAAAUUCUUUCACCGGGGACGAUAAUGACGGUACCCGGAGAAGAAGCCCCGGCUAACUUCGUG
RNAcentral lists this ribosomal RNA (434 nucleotides) under uncultured bacterium. RNAcentral's name for it is "partial 16S ribosomal RNA". It matches the Rfam family "Bacterial small subunit ribosomal RNA", at positions 29 to 507 of the family's 1533-position model. The record is from RNAcentral.